UGAGGAAUAUUGGUCAAUGGGCGAGAGCCUGAACCAGCCAAGUAGCGUGCAGGAUGACGGCCCUAUGGGUUGUAAACUGCUUUUAUGUGGGGAUAAAGUGCGUGACGUGUCAUGCAUUGCAGGUACCACAUGAAUAAGGACCGGCUAAUUCCGUGCCAGCAGCCGCGGUAAUACGGAAGGUCCGGGCGUUAUCCGGAUUUAUUGGGUUUAAAGGGAGCGUAGGCUGUCUAUUAAGCGUGUUGUGAAAUAUACCGGCUCAACCGGUGGCUUGCAGCGCGAACUGGUCGACUUGAGUAUGCAGGAAGUAGGCGGAAUUCAUGGUGUAGCGGUGAAAUGCUUAGAUAUCAUGACGAACUCCGAAUGCGCAGGCAGCUUACUGUAGCAUAACUGACGCUGAUGCUCGAAAGUGCGGGUAUCAAACAGG
This 424-nucleotide ribosomal RNA is filed under the name Verrucomicrobiota bacterium. RNAcentral's name for it is "Verrucomicrobia bacterium partial 16S ribosomal RNA". It matches the Rfam family "Bacterial small subunit ribosomal RNA", at positions 355 to 776 of the family's 1533-position model. Lineage: Bacteria; Pseudomonadati; Verrucomicrobiota. The record is from RNAcentral.